UCCUACGGGAGGCAGCAGUGGGGAAUAUUGCACAAUGGGCGCAAGCCUGAUGCAGCCAUGCCGCGUGUGUGAAGAAGGCCUUCGGGUUGUAAAGCACUUUCAGUCGUGAGGAAGGUAGUGUAGUUAAUAGCUGCAUUAUUUGACGUUAGCGACAGAAGAAGCACCGGCUAACUCCGUGCCAGCAGCCGCGGUAAUACGGAGGGUGCGAGCGUUAAUCGGAAUUACUGGGCGUAAAGCGCAUGCAGGUGGUUCGUUAAGUCAGAUGUGAAAGCCCGGGGCUCAACCUCGGAACAGCAUUUGAAACUGGCGGACUAGAGUACUGUAGAGGGGGGUAGAAUUUCAGGUGUAGCGGUGAAAUGCGUAGAGAUCUGAAGGAAUACCGGUGGCGAAGGCGGCCCCCUGGACAGAUACUGACACUCAGAUGCGAAAGCGUGGGGAGCAAACAGGAUUAGAUACCCUGGUAGUCCACGCCGUAAACGAUGUCUACUUGGAGGUUGUGGCCUUGAGCCGUGGCUUUCGGAGCUAACGCGUUAAGUAGACCGCCUGGGGAGUACGGUCGCAAGAUUAAAACUCAAAUGAAUUGACGG
RNAcentral lists this ribosomal RNA (587 nucleotides) under Vibrio sp. 7JANF3-E-1. RNAcentral describes it as "bacterial SSU rRNA". It matches the Rfam family "Bacterial small subunit ribosomal RNA", at positions 337 to 916 of the family's 1533-position model. Lineage: Bacteria; Pseudomonadati; Pseudomonadota; Gammaproteobacteria; Vibrionales; Vibrionaceae. The record is from RNAcentral.